GGGGCAUUAGCACAGUUGGGAGUGCGUCACAUUCGCAUUGUGAAGGUCAGGGGUUCGAUUCUCCUAUGCUCCA
Molecule: transfer RNA, 73 nt
Filed under: Ruminococcus sp. OM06-36AC
Lineage: Bacteria; Bacillati; Bacillota; Clostridia; Eubacteriales; Oscillospiraceae
Rfam family: tRNA
About the family: Transfer RNA (tRNA) molecules are approximately 80 nucleotides in length.
Source: Rfam by way of RNAcentral